RNAcentral lists this ribosomal RNA (483 nucleotides) under uncultured bacterium. RNAcentral's name for it is "partial 16S ribosomal RNA". It matches the Rfam family "Bacterial small subunit ribosomal RNA", at positions 30 to 507 of the family's 1533-position model. The record is from RNAcentral.
AUUGAACGCUGGCGGCAUGCCUUACACAUGCAAGUCGAACGGUAACGGGCCUUCGGGUGCCGACGAGUGGCGAACGGGUGAGUAAUACAUCGGAACGUGCCCGAUCGUGGGGGAUAACGAGGCGAAAGCUUUGCUAAAUACCGCAUACGAUCUACGGAUGAAAGCAGGGGACCGCAAGGCCUUGCGCGGACGGAGCGGCCGAUGGCAGAUUAGGUAGUUGGUGGGAUAAAAGCUUACCAAGCCGACGAUCUGUAGCUGGUCUGAGAGGAUGAUCAGCCACACUGGGACUGAGACACGGCCCAGACUCCUACGGGAGGCAGCAGUGGGGAAUUUUGGACAAUGGGCGCAAGCCUGAUCCAGCCAUGCCGCGUGCAGGAUGAAGGCCUUCGGGUUGUAAACUGCUUUUGUACGGAACGAAAAGCCUUCUUUUAAUACAGGAGGGUCAUGACGGUACCGUAAGAAUAAGCACCGGCUAACUACGUG